This 45-nucleotide non-coding RNA is filed under the name Schistosoma margrebowiei. The record is from RNAcentral. Lineage: Eukaryota; Metazoa; Platyhelminthes; Trematoda; Strigeidida; Schistosomatidae.
AUCUGGCUGACGAAUCCCAAAUAGAACGAAACGCGCGUCUUGGAU